UAUUCUGGCUCAGGAUGAACGCUAGCGGCAGGCUUAACACAUGCAAGUCGAGGGGCAGCGCGGGGCGGCAACGUCCUGGCGGCGACCGGCGGAAGGGUGCGUAACGCGUGAGCGACAUGCCCGUUGCCCGGGGACAACCGGUGGAAACGCCGACUAAUCCCCGAUGGGACGGAGGCCCUCAUGGGUCUCUGUUGAAAGUUACGGCGGCGACGGAUUGGCUCGCGUCCGAUUAGCUUGUUGGCGGGGUAACGGCCCACCAAGGCUACGAUCGGUAGGGGUUCUGAGAGGAAGGUCCCCCACAAUGGAACUGAGACACGGUCCAUACUCCUACGGGAGGCAGCAGUGAGGAAUAUUGGUCAAUGGGCGGAAGCCUGAACCAGCCAUGCCGCGUGCGGGAAGGAGGCCCUAUGGGCUGUGAACCGCUUUUGCCUGGGGGCAAUAAGGGCGUCGCGCACGUCCGAUGAGAGUACCAGGGGAAUAAGCAUCGGCUAACUCCGUGCCAGCAGCCGCGGUAAUACGGGGGAUGCGAGCGUUAUCCGGAUUCAUUGGGUUUAAAGGGUGCGUAGGCUGUGCGUCAAGUCAGGGGUGAAAUUCCGGGGCUCAACUCCGGGGCUGCCCUUGAUACUGUCGCGCUGGAGUGCGGAUGCCGCCGGAGGAAUGAGUGGUGUAGCGGUGAAAUGCUUAGAUAUCACUCAGAACACCGAUUGCGAAGGCAUCUGGCGAAUCCGUAACUGACGCUGAGGCACGAAAGCGUGGGGAUAGAACAGGAUUAGAUACCCUGGUAUUCCACGCCGUAAACGAUGAUGGCUAACCGCCGGCGACAUACUGUCGGUGGCCAAGCGAAAGCGAUAAGCCAUCCACCUGGGGAGUACGUCGGCAACGAUGCAACUCAAAGGAAUUGACGG
RNAcentral lists this ribosomal RNA (905 nucleotides) under uncultured Bacillota bacterium. RNAcentral's name for it is "bacterial SSU rRNA". It matches the Rfam family "Bacterial small subunit ribosomal RNA", at positions 15 to 916 of the family's 1533-position model. The record is from RNAcentral. Lineage: Bacteria; Bacillati; Bacillota.